GCUGGGCAUGGUGGCAAGUGCCUGUGGUCCCAGCUACUCGGGAGGCUGAGGCAGGAUUGCUUGAGUCCAGGAGUUCCGGGCUGUAAUGCGCUAUCCUGAUUGGGUAUCCGCACUAAGUUUGGCAUCAGUAUGGUGACCUCCCAGGAGCUGGGGACCACCAGGUUGCCUAAGGAAGGGUAAACCAAGACGGAAAUGGAGCAGGUCAAAACUUCCAUGCUCAUCAGUAGCGGGAUCACGCCGCUGAAUAUCCACUGCACUCCGGCCUAGGCAACAUAGCGAGACCCCGUCUCUA
Molecule: non-coding RNA, 292 nt
Organism: Chlorocebus sabaeus (green monkey)
Lineage: Eukaryota; Metazoa; Chordata; Mammalia; Primates; Cercopithecidae
Rfam family: Metazoan signal recognition particle RNA
About the family: The signal recognition particle (SRP) is a universally conserved ribonucleoprotein. It is involved in the co-translational targeting of proteins to membranes. The eukaryotic SRP consists of a 300-nucleotide 7S RNA and six proteins: SRPs 72, 68, 54, 19, 14, and 9.
Source: Rfam